GUGCUGGCGGCAGCUACCAUGCAGUCGAGCGGAACGAUCCUAGCUUGCUAGGAGGCGUCGAGCGGCGGACGGGUGAGUAAUGCAUAGGAAUCUGCCCGGUAGUGGGGGAUAACCUGGGGAAACCCAGGCUAAUACCGCAUACGCCCUACGGGGGAAAGCAGGGGAUCUUCGGACCUUGCGCUAUCGGAUGAGCCUAUGUCGGAUUAGCUAGUUGGUGAGGUAACGGCUCACCAAGGCUGCGAUCCGUAGCUGGUCUGAGAGGAUGAUCAGCCACAUCGGGACUGAGACACGGCCCGAACUCCUACGGGAGGCAGCAGUGGGGAAUAUUGGACAAUGGGCGAAAGCCUGAUCCAGCCAUGCCGCGUGUGUGAAGAAGGCCUUCGGGUUGUAAAGCACUUUCAGUGAGGAAGAAAGCCUUGAGGUUAAUACCCUCGAGGGAGGACAUCACUCACAGAAGAAGCACCGGCUAACUCCGUGCCAGCAGCCGCGGUAAUACGGAGGGUGCGAGCGUUAAUCGGAAUUACUGGGCGUAAAGCGCGCGUAGGCGGCUUGAUAAGCCGGUUGUGAAAGCCCCGGGCUCAACCUGGGAACGGCAUCCGGAACUGUCAGGCUAGAGUGCAGGAGAGGAAGGUAGAAUUCCCGGUGUAGCGGUGAAAUGCGUAGAGAUCGGGAGGAAUACCAGUGGCGAAGGCGGCCUUCUGGACUGACACUGACGCUGAGGUGCGAAAGCGUGUGUAGCAAACAGGAUUAGAUACCCUGGGUAGUCA
RNAcentral lists this ribosomal RNA (767 nucleotides) under Halomonas sp. Its description in RNAcentral is "bacterial SSU rRNA". It matches the Rfam family "Bacterial small subunit ribosomal RNA", at positions 33 to 797 of the family's 1533-position model. The record is from RNAcentral. Lineage: Bacteria; Pseudomonadati; Pseudomonadota; Gammaproteobacteria; Oceanospirillales; Halomonadaceae.